UCGGAAUCUGGGAGGACCAUCUCCUAAGGCUAAAUACUCUCUAGUGACCGAUAGUGAACCAGUACCGUGAGGGAAAGGUGAAAAGCACCCCGGAAGGGGAGUGAAAUAGAACCUGAAACCGUGUGCUUACAAGUAGUCAGAGCCCGUUAAUGGGUGAUGGCGUGCCUUUUGUAGAAUGAACCGGCGAGUUACGAUUUGAUGCAAGGUUAAGCAGUAAAUGUGGAGCCGUAGCGAAAGCGAGUCUGAAUAGGGCGUUUAGUAUUUGGUCGUAGACCCGAAACCAGGUGAUCUACCCUUGGUCAGGUUGAAGUUCAGGUAACACUGAAUGGAGGACCGAACCGACUUACGUUGAAAAGUGAGCGGAUGAACUGAGGGUAGCGGAGAAAUUCCAAUCGAACCUGGAGAUAGCUGGUUCUCUCCGAAAUAGCUUUAGGGCUAGCCUCAAGUGAUGAUUAUUGGAGGUAGAGCACUGUUUGGACGAGGGGCCCCUCUCGGGUUACCGAAUUCAGACAAACUCCGAAUGCCAAUUAAUUUAACUUGGGAGUCAGAACAUGGGUGAUAAGGUCCGUGUUCGAAAGGGAAACAGCCCAGACCACCAGCUAAGGUCCCAAAAUAUAUGUUAAGUGGAAAAGGAUGUGGCGUUGCCCAGACAACUAGGAUGUUGGCUUAGAAGCAGCCAUCAUUUAAAGAGUGCGUAAUAGCUCACUAGUCGAGUGACACUGCGCCGAAAAUGUACCGGGGCUAAACAUAUUACCGAAGCUGUGGAUUGUCCUUUGGACAAUGGUAGGAGAGCGUUCUAAGGGCGUUGAAGCAUGAUCGUAAGGACAUGUGGAGCGCUUAGAAGUGAGAAUGCCGGUGUGAGUAGCGAAAGACGGGUGAGAAUCCCGUCCACCGAUUGACUAAGGUUUCCAGAGGAAGGCUCGUCCGCUCUGGGUUAGUCGGGUCCUAAGCUGAGGCCGACAGGCGUAGGCGAUGGAUAACAGGUUGAUAUUCCUGUACCACCUAUAAUCGUUUUAAUCGAUGGGGGGACGCAGUAGGAUAGGCGAAGCGUGCGAUUGGAUUGCACGUCUAAGCAGUAAGGCUGAGUAUUAGGCAAAUCCGGUACUCGUUAAGGCUGAGCUGUGAUGGGGAGAAGACAUUGUGUCUUCGAGUCGUUGAUUUCACACUGCCGAGAAAAGCCUCUAGAUAGAAAAUAGGUGCCCGUACCGCAAACCGACACAGGUAGUCAAGAUGAGAAUUCUAAGGUGAGCGAGCGAACUCUCGUUAAGGAACUCGGCAAAAUGACCCCGUAACUUCGGGAGAAGGGGUGCUCUUUAGGGUUAACGCCCAGAAGAGCCGCAGUGAAUAGGCCCAAGCGACUGUUUAUCAAAAACACAGGUCUCUGCUAAACCGUAAGGUGAUGUAUAGGGGCUGACGCCUGCCCGGUGCUGGAAGGUUAAGAGGAGUGGUUAGCUUCUGCGAAGCUACGAAUCGAAGCCCCAGUAAACGGCGGCCGUAACUAUAACGGUCCUAAGGUAGCGAAAUUCCUUGUCGGGUAAGUUCCGACCCGCACGAAAGGCGUAACGAUUUGGGCACUGUCUCAACGAGAGACUCGGUGAAAUCAUAGUACCUGUGAAGAUGCAGGUUACCCGCGACAGGACGGAAAGACCCCGUGGAGCUUUACUGUAGCCUGAUAUUGAAAUUCGGCACAGCUUGUACAGGAUAGGUAGGAGCCUUUGAAACGUGAGCGCUAGCUUACGUGGAGGCGCUGGUGGGAUACUACCCUAGCUGUGUUGGCUUUCUAACCCGCACCACUUAUCGUGGUGGGAGACAGUGUCAGGCGGGCAGUUUGACUGGGGCGGUCGCCUCCUAAAAGGUAACGGAGGCGCUCAAAGGUUCCCUCAGAAUGGUUGGAAAUCAUUCAUAGAGUGUAAAGGCAUAAGGGAGCUUGACUGCGAGACCUACAAGUCGAGCAGGGUCGAAAGACGGACUUAGUGAUCCGGUGGUUCCGCAUGGAAGGGCCAUCGCUCAACGGAUAAAAGCUACCCCGGGGAUAACAGGCUUAUCUCCCCCAAGAGUUCACAUCGACGGGGAGGUUUGGCACCUCGAUGUCGGCUCAUCGCAUCCUGGGGCUGUAGUCGGUCCCAAGGGUUGGGCUGUUCGCCCAUUAAAGCGGUACGCGAGCUGGGUUCAGAACGUCGUGAGACAGUUCGGUCCCUAUCCGUCGUGGGCGUAGGAAAUUUGAGAGGAGCUGUCCUUAGUACGAGAGGACCGGGAUGGACAUACCUCUGGUGUACCAGUUGUCGU
This 2286-nucleotide ribosomal RNA is filed under the name Staphylococcus aureus. Its description in RNAcentral is "partial 23S ribosomal RNA". It matches the Rfam family "Bacterial large subunit ribosomal RNA", at positions 437 to 2727 of the family's 2925-position model. Lineage: Bacteria; Bacillati; Bacillota; Bacilli; Caryophanales; Staphylococcaceae. The record is from RNAcentral.